This 1036-nucleotide long non-coding RNA is filed under the name Cricetulus griseus (Chinese hamster). Its description in RNAcentral is "lncRNA (ENSCGRG00015029197.1)". The record is from RNAcentral. Lineage: Eukaryota; Metazoa; Chordata; Mammalia; Rodentia; Cricetidae.
CAUACAUUGUGGAAAGUAUUGGAGGUGAGGAUGGAGAACAGAGACAAGAAGGGAUAAGUCAGCUUUCAGGAGCUUGCUCCAGCCAUCCCUUCAGAGACAACCACCCUCACAGGAUGGCAGCGAUGUCUGAAGUGUUCCCAUGCAAAGUACACAAACUCCCGGUGCUGGUGUCGGCAACGCAUGGCAAACAGGAAGUAGUCCAGGACACUCUGACACACGCUGGGCAGUUGGUGCUGUACCAGUGUCUCCUCCAGGAAGAAGCAGACCAGUGGUGCCUGAUAGUGCUCUAAGACCAGCUCUCCUAGCGACUUGAGGAUGCGUGUAAUAUUCAGGUUGUUGUGGCUGUGACUGUUCAGGUUGUGGAAGCAUGGCUGGAAGUUCUGUGCACCGCAGACCGCACUGGUGUCCUGGUCCUCAAGUUGGACCCAUAAAAGCCCAGCAUGAGUUCAUAGGUCCGGACAAGACGCUCUUUGACCUCCUCGAAGCUUUUAAAUUCCUCAACCUCCUUGAGUGUGAGGGGCUUGGCAUGCCGGUUCACUCCUGGUUCCCUCAGAGGAAACAGCCACUAAAUAUAGGAGUGAUUCUCUUCAAGGAGGUCAUAGUUGCCUUUCUAGUUGUGAAGAAUUUCCUCAAUGAAAAGACCAUUUAGGCUGGCAUGCUGGCUCAGAGGUUAAGAGCACUGACUGCUAUUCCAGAGGUCCUGAGUUCAAUUCCCAGCAACCACAUGGUGGCUCACAACCAUCCAUUAUGAGAUCUGGUGCCCUCUUCUGAUGUGCAGAUAUACAUGGAAGCAGAAUGUUGUAUGCAUAAUAAAUAAAAUCUUUAAAAAAAAAGACCAUUUGGCUGGAAGCAGAUCUCAUUUUUGUAGAAGCUCAGGUUAGACCUGUCGCCAUUGUGGUCUUGAUCUGCCACAUCUGGGUAGUGGUGCCAAUAACUUCACAUGUCCUGCAUGACUCACCAGUUUUGGCACCCUGUCAUCCUGGACUGGAACACGCCUGGCCCUAACUCCUCCAAGUAGCAGUGGAUAUGGGGAGAC